Molecule: long non-coding RNA, 604 nt
Organism: Morus notabilis
Lineage: Eukaryota; Viridiplantae; Streptophyta; Magnoliopsida; Rosales; Moraceae
Exons: 4
Source: RefSeq, a predicted model, not a curated record
GUUCAGAAGGAUCUGCAAUGGCGGUUUAUGGUGAAAAGGAUAAAGUUGAGAGUUUUGGAGGUAGAGAAGAGCAUUCUGAUGUGAGUGAGGAGGUAACUUGUCCCGUUUGUGGCAAUAAUGUGAGAGGGAAUAACUUCACAAUCAAAUCUCGUCUAGGGGUAGGAAAAGUUGGCAAAAGGUGCUCAUCUAAGUUAGGUUGGAUUGCGCGCCACAUGACCCUGCUCCAAGUCUAGGCUUAGAGGGAUAUUCCACAACCAAAAAAAGUGGCGAUGGUCGCUAGACUCAAGUACUUUAAAGCAAAGACGACGUUUUUAUCUAGGAAUCAGACAUUUUAAUACUCGCGCAUUCUUUGGGACAUGUUAUGCAGUGGUGCUCCUUGAGAAAAGGAAGUAUUUCGCUUAGUGCUUUGGCUCCAUUUGGUGGUUUUACUUUCAUGACUCUGAAUUAUUAGGGAUAACACAUAUCACUACCUCUGAUAUUAAGAUUGUGUUAUUUUGCAGCAAAAAGCAAAGAAGCUUGAUAAUUCUAGUGGACUAAUUAAGCUCUAUCAUGAUAUGUGUCAUCACAAGACUAAGGGUUGGACUGGGACAGUACUGAGGAGAAC